GACGAACGCUGGCGGCGUGCUUAACACAUGCAAGUCGAACGAUGAACCCGGAGCUUGCUCCGGUGGAUUAGUGGCGAACGGAUGAGUAACACGUGAGUAACCUGCCCUUGACUCUGGGAUAACUGCGGGAAACUGUAGCUAAUACCGGAUACGACCCUCGGCGGCAUCGCCAGGGGGUGGAAAGAAUUUCGGUCAAGGAUGGACUGGCGGCCUAUCAGGUAGUUGGUGAGGUAACGGCGCACCAAGGCGACGACGGGUAGCCGGCCUGAGAGGGUGACCGGCCGCACUGGGACGGCGACCAGGCCCAGACUCCUACGGGAGGCAGCUGUGGGGAAUAUUGCACAAUGGGCGCAAGCCUGAUGCAGCAACGCCGCGUGAGGGAUGACGGCCUUCGGGUUGUAAACCUCUUUUAGUAGGGAAGAAGCGAAAGUGACGGUACCUGCAGAAAAAGCACCGGCUAACUACGUGCCAGCCGCCGCAGUAA
RNAcentral lists this ribosomal RNA (484 nucleotides) under uncultured bacterium. RNAcentral describes it as "partial 16S ribosomal RNA". It matches the Rfam family "Bacterial small subunit ribosomal RNA", at positions 28 to 523 of the family's 1533-position model. The record is from RNAcentral.